GACGAACGCUGGCGGCGUGCCUAAUACAUGCAAGUCGAACGCUGAAGCUUGGUGCUUGCCCCGAGCGGAUGAGUUGCGAACGGGUGAGUAACGCGUAGGUAACCUGCCUGGUAGCGGGGGAUAACUAUUUGAAACGAUAGCUAAUACCGCAUAAGAGUAGAUGUUGCAUGACAUUUGCUUAAAAGGUGCAAUUGCAUCACUACCAGAUGGACCUGCGUUGUAUUAGCUAGUUGGUGAGGUAACGGCUCACCAAGGCAACGAUACAUAGCCGACCUGAGAGGGUGAUCGGCCACACUGGGACUGAGACACGGCCCAGACUCCUACGGGAGGCAGCAGUAGGGAAUCUUCGGCAAUGGACGGAAGUCUGACCGAGCAACGCCGCGUGAGUGAAGAAGGUGUUCGGAUCGUAAAGCUCUGUUGUAAGAGAAGAACGGGUGUGAGAGAGGAAAGUGCACACUGGGAGGGAAUCAAACCAGAAAGGGACGGCUAACUACGG
Molecule: ribosomal RNA, 496 nt
Filed under: uncultured bacterium
Lineage: Bacteria
Description: partial 16S ribosomal RNA
Rfam family: Bacterial small subunit ribosomal RNA
Source: RNAcentral